This 1336-nucleotide ribosomal RNA is filed under the name Microbacterium sp. 3188BRRJ. RNAcentral describes it as "16S ribosomal RNA". It matches the Rfam family "Bacterial small subunit ribosomal RNA", at positions 96 to 1443 of the family's 1533-position model. The record is from RNAcentral. Lineage: Bacteria; Bacillati; Actinomycetota; Actinomycetes; Micrococcales; Microbacteriaceae.
UGGCGAACGGGUGAGUAACACGUGAGCAAUCUGCCCCUGACUCUGGGAUAAGCGCUGGAAACGGCGUCUAAUACUGGAUAUGAACCGUGGAGGCAUCUUCAACGGUUGGAAAGAUUUUUUGGUCAGGGAUGAGCUCGCGGCCUAUCAGCUUGUUGGUGAGGUAAUGGCUCACCAAGGCGUCGACGGGUAGCCGGCCUGAGAGGGUGACCGGCCACACUGGGACUGAGACACGGCCCAGACUCCUACGGGAGGCAGCAGUGGGGAAUAUUGCACAAUGGGCGCAAGCCUGAUGCAGCAACGCCGCGUGAGGGAUGACGGCCUUCGGGUUGUAAACCUCUUUUAGCAGGGAAGAAGCGAAAGUGACGGUACCUGCAGAAAAAGCGCCGGCUAACUACGUGCCAGCAGCCGCGGUAAUACGUAGGGCGCAAGCGUUAUCCGGAAUUAUUGGGCGUAAAGAGCUCGUAGGCGGUUUGUCGCGUCUGCUGUGAAAUCCCGAGGCUCAACCUCGGGUCUGCAGUGGGUACGGGCAGACUAGAGUGCGGUAGGGGAGAUUGGAAUUCCUGGUGUAGCGGUGGAAUGCGCAGAUAUCAGGAGGAACACCGAUGGCGAAGGCAGAUCUCUGGGCCGUAACUGACGCUGAGGAGCGAAAGGGUGGGGAGCAAACAGGCUUAGAUACCCUGGUAGUCCACCCCGUAAACGUUGGGAACUAGUUGUGGGGUCCAUUCCACGGAUUCCGUGACGCAGCUAACGCAUUAAGUUCCCCGCCUGGGGAGUACGGCCGCAAGGCUAAAACUCAAAGGAAUUGACGGGGACCCGCACAAGCGGCGGAGCAUGCGGAUUAAUUCGAUGCAACGCGAAGAACCUUACCAAGGCUUGACAUAUACGAGAACGCUGCAGAAAUGUAGAACUCUUUGGACACUCGUAAACAGGUGGUGCAUGGUUGUCGUCAGCUCGUGUCGUGAGAUGUUGGGUUAAGUCCCGCAACGAGCGCAACCCUCGUUCUAUGUUGCCAGCACGUAAUGGUGGGAACUCAUGGGAUACUGCCGGGGUCAACUCGGAGGAAGGUGGGGAUGACGUCAAAUCAUCAUGCCCCUUAUGUCUUGGGCUUCACGCAUGCUACAAUGGCCGGUACAAAGGGCUGCAAUACCGUAAGGUGGAGCGAAUCCCAAAAAGCCGGUCCCAGUUCGGAUUGAGGUCUGCAACUCGACCUCAUGAAGUCGGAGUCGCUAGUAAUCGCAGAUCAGCAACGCUGCGGUGAAUACGUUCCCGGGUCUUGUACACACCGCCCGUCAAGUCAUGAAAGUCGGUAACACCUGAAGCCGGUGGCCCAACCCUU